This 1091-nucleotide ribosomal RNA is filed under the name Escherichia coli. Its description in RNAcentral is "partial 23S ribosomal RNA". It matches the Rfam family "Bacterial large subunit ribosomal RNA", at positions 1 to 1123 of the family's 2925-position model. The record is from RNAcentral. Lineage: Bacteria; Pseudomonadati; Pseudomonadota; Gammaproteobacteria; Enterobacterales; Enterobacteriaceae.
GGGUUGUGAGGUUAAGCGACUAAGCGUACACGGUGGAUGCCCUGGCAGUCAGAGGCGAUGAAGGACGUGCUAAUCUGCGAUAAGCGUCGGUAAGGUGAUAUGAACCGUUAUAACCGGCGAUUUCCGAAUGGGGAAACCCAGUGUGUUUCGACACACUAUCAUUAACUGAAUCCAUAGGUUAAUGAGGCGAACCGGGGGAACUGAAACAUCUAAGUACCCCGAGGAAAAGAAAUCAACCGAGAUUCCCCCAGUAGCGGCGAGCGAACGGGGAGCAGCCCAGAGCCUGAAUCAGUGUGUGUGUUAGUGGAAGCGUCUGGAAAGGCGCGCGAUACAGGGUGACAGCCCCGUACACAAAAAUGCACAUACUGUGAGCUCGAUGAGUAGGGCGGGACACGUGGUAUCCUGUCUGAAUAUGGGGGGACCAUCCUCCAAGGCUAAAUACUCCUGACUGACCGAUAGUGAACCAGUACCGUGAGGGAAAGGCGAAAAGAACCCCGGCGAGGGGAGUGAAAAAGAACCUGAAACCGUGUACGUACAAGCAGUGGGAGCACGCUUCGGCGUGUGACUGCGUACCUUUUGUAUAAUGGGUCAGCGACUUAUAUUCUGUAGCAAGGUUAACCGAAUAGGGGAGCCGAAGGGAAACCGAGUCUUAACUGGGCGUUAAGUUGCAGGGUAUAGACCCGAAACCCGGUGAUCUAGCCAUGGGCAGGUUGAAGGUUGGGUAACACUAACUGGAGGACCGAACCGACUAAUGUUGAAAAAUUAGCGGAUGACUUGUGGCUGGGGGUGAAAGGCCAAUCAAACCGGGAGAUAGCUGGUUCUCCCCGAAAGCUAUUUAGGUAGCGCCUCGUGAACUCAUCUUCGGGGGUAGAGCACUGUUUCGGCAAGGGGGUCAUCCCGACUUACCAACCCGAUGCAAACUGCGAAUACCGGAGAAUGUUAUCACGGGAGACACACGGCGGGUGCUAACGUCCGUCGUGAAGAGGGAAACAACCCAGACCGCCAGCUAAGGUCCCAAAGUCAUGGUUAAGUGGGAAACGAUGUGGGAAGGCCCAGACAGCCAGGAUGUUGGCUUAGAAGCAGCCAUCAUU